RNAcentral lists this ribosomal RNA (519 nucleotides) under uncultured bacterium. Its description in RNAcentral is "bacterial SSU rRNA". It matches the Rfam family "Bacterial small subunit ribosomal RNA", at positions 8 to 518 of the family's 1533-position model. The record is from RNAcentral.
AGAGUUUGAUCCUGGCUCAGGAUGAACGCUAGCUACAGGCUUAACACAUGCAAGUCGAGGGGCAGCAUGAAGUUUGCUUGCAAACUUGAUGGCGACCGGCGCACGGGUGAGUAACGCGUAUCCAACCUUCCCUAUACUAGAGGAUAGCCCGGCGAAAGUCGGAUUAAUACUCUAUGUUCUUCGUAGAAGACAUCUGAAAUGAAGCAAAGGUUUACCGGUAUAGGAUGGGGAUGCGUCUGAUUAGGUUGUUGGCGGGUAACGGCCCACCAAGCCCACGAUCAGUAGGGGUUCUGAGAGGAAGGUCCCCCACAUUGGAACUGAGACACGGUCCAAACUCCUACGGGAGGCAGCAGUGAGGAAUAUUGGUCAAUGGACGAGAGUCUGAACCAGCCAAGUAGCGUGCAGGAUGACGGCCCUAUGGGUUGUAAACUGCUUUUAUACAGGGAUAAAGUGACGUACGUGUACGUUUUUGUAGGUACUGUAUGAAUAAGGACCGGCUAAUUCCGUGCCAGCCGCAGC